Molecule: long non-coding RNA, 2113 nt
Organism: Sapajus apella (tufted capuchin)
Lineage: Eukaryota; Metazoa; Chordata; Mammalia; Primates; Cebidae
Exons: 2
Source: RefSeq, a predicted model, not a curated record
UUAAAAUAAGAAUGAGUUGCUAUUAGUUUUUGAAGUUACAAAAAAAAAUCCCUAAAAUAUUCCUAAGAGACAACAAUGUCCCACUGUAGUAUAUAAUUUAGGUGUGGAGGCAUCCAGGUACUAAUCAAUAGCUUGCCAACCUAAGGAUUCUAAAAAGGCUGACAGAAUGACAACUGCUAGUUGAAAUAUUUACAGCUUAUUUUAGCACAGGUAUGUGUAACAUAAUGUCAGAAUCAGAAAACAGACCACUUUGCCUGAACAGAAAAAUGAUUCAUAAAGAGAAAAAUCUCACAUGUAAAUUAUAACAUCAAUAUUCAACAUAUUUUCUUUUCAAUGAAUUUUUUUCCAGGCUAUUUGGAUUAGGUUUUGAAACUCAGUUGGCCAGAUGACAUUUAGAAUAGUGUCUAUUCAUCGCCUAAAGAAACACCAAGUAGGACUAGGUGGACUCUAAAGGAAAAAAAAUGAUAGAAACAAAAUAUGGCAAUUUUUUUUGUUUGCUGGUGAAGUUUGCCAAUUGAAUAAUGUGAGUUGGGCAUGGUGGGUCAGGGAAAUAGGGAUAUUGCUUCUGGGAGUUUUCAAGCUGUUGUCUUCAGGGUUCUUCAGUACCUUUAUGCCUUCUUUCCUUAUGACUUCCCUAAGUCCAUGAUUAAGACCCAAGGCCUUUCUAUCAGCUUCUUGCGCACAUCAAGGCUAAAAGCAGACAUACCUAUGGGAGCAGGCAGGUGACAGUACAGAUGAAUGAGGCAGAGGGUGGUGACCUAGGGGGUCCAGGGUUUUUCCCUCCAGCUGAUAAAUGCCAGGAGGAAACAGAGCCAAAAUUAUAAGGUGUCAAAGAUAUUGAUUUUGCAUAAGAAUCUGGGUUAAUUUUAGUGAAGUUGCUUGGUUUUUAAAGGCUGGCUUAUUGAAAAAACACUCUGGGCUCACUGAAAUGCUUUUGUCUGGGUUACAUACAGUGCCAAAGAAGAUUAAAACAAUGCACUUGUUUUCAAUACAUAUUUCAAAGAAAGGAAAAAAUAUCAUAGAUAACUGUUUUUUAUUUCCCCCCUCCAAAUCUGUUUGCUAGCCAGUAUCAGCAUAAAUAAAAGUACUGAGAAUGACAACACAGCUCUGGGAGCAUGCAGAGGUGGAGCAUGCAGAGGUAGCUUCCAGGAUGGCCAGGGAUGAUUGAGAGUCAGGAUGAGGCUGUGCCAGAUCCCAGGAAAACCUUAUGAAUACCCAAGAGUUGAAUACCUCUGGUCAAGAGAGUCGAUACUUAACUACAACCACCACCACCAUCACCACCACUACUGCUACCAAAACACAACACGAAAUAAAACCCUUUUAUAUUUGGCUGAAAAUCUCAGUAAAUGAUUUAAGAGCACAUCCAAUCAUAUACCCCAAUAAUUACCACAACAGCAAACUGUAAGAAAUCAUCAUGGCCUCAUAUGAGAAUUGUUUUGACCUUGCUAAGAACUUCCUGCAACUUUCCAGCUAUGUUCUGAGUUGCUAUUUAUAUUUGAGAGCAAAAGAACUUUAUAUAGACCCAUGUGUUCAGCUGCACCAAACAGACGGGAAAGACUGUUGCUUGACUAAUUUCCAUACCAAAUUUAAACAUUCGACAGUAAGUAUGACACAUUAAUUUAAGUCAUUUUAAAUUUCUCCAAUCCAAGGAAACUGACCAAAUCAACUAACUCUGUAUAGUUUAGAUGAGUUAAAUAAUUUUUAAUAGAGCCUUAUUUGUUGGCUCCUAGAGUAGAACAAUGCAAACUUUGGCCCAGCUAAGAUUUGUGGCUUGCCCCGCUACCCACUUGUUCUAUUUUUCUGUACCUAGACUAGCCGCCUAACCUGCUGCCUACCUAAUCUUGUAUUAGCUGAGAGAGGAAGAAAUAGCAACAAAAAAGAAUUACUACAGCAGGUCCAACUAGCAAAGUUUAACUUGCCAAAACACUAAGCUAGACUUCAUGGAUAUUCAUAUAUUAAAAAUAAAUCUACCAUAUUCACUCUUCUUCCUGGAAAGCAACUCAGCUGCUAGCCUGAAGAUGGAAAAUGACUUAAAGCCUAAGAAAUUCUUCACUUGCAUAAAUCUGAUUUUGAUUCUUGAGAGCUAGGUUUCAGUAAGAACUGGCCUAACAUU